UCGACGGCAGCGGCACUUCGGUGGCCGGCGAGUGGCGGAUGGGUGAGUAACGCGUAUGCAACCUACCUUUCACAGUGGGAUAGCCCAGAGAAAUUUGGAUUAAUACCGCAUAGUAUGCAGGGCCGUCAUCGGUUUUGCAUUAAACAUUUAUGGGUGAGAGAUGGGCAUGCGUUCUAUUAGUUAGUUGGAGUGGUAACGGCACCCCAAGACCGCGAUAGAUAGGGGCCCUGAGAGGGGGAUCCCCCACACUGGUACUGAGACACGGACCAGACUCCUACGGGAGGCAGCAGUGAGGAAUAUUGGACAAUGGGCGCAAGCCUGAUCCAGCCAUGCCGCGUGCAGGAAGACGGCCCUAUGGGUUGUAAACUGCUUUUAUACGGGAAGAAACCCCCCGACGUGUCGGGGCUUGACGGUACCGUAUGAAUAAGGAUCGGCUAACUCCGUGCCAGCAGCCGCGGUAAUACGGAGGAUCCGAGCGUUAUCCGGAAUCAUUGGGUUUAAAGGGUCCGUAGGUGGACGAUUAAGUCGGAGGUGAAAUCCUGCAGCUCAACUGUAGAAUUGCCUUUGAUACUGGUUGUCUUGAAUCAUUGUGAAGUGGUUAGAAUAUGUGGUGUAGCGGUGAAAUGCAUAGAUAUCACAUAGAAUACCGAUUGCGAAGGCAGAUCACUAACAAUGUAUUGACACUGAUGGACGAAAGCGUGGGGAGCGAACAGGAUUAGAUACCCUGGUAGUCCACGCCGUAGACGAUGGAUACUAGCUGUCCGGGCUUC
Molecule: ribosomal RNA, 770 nt
Filed under: uncultured bacterium
Lineage: Bacteria
Description: bacterial SSU rRNA
Rfam family: Bacterial small subunit ribosomal RNA
Source: RNAcentral